CUUGGUGACCAUGGAGAGGAGGGUACACCCGAUCCCAUUCCGAACUCGGAAGUUAAGCUCCUUUUCGCCGAUGAUACUGCAUAUCUUCAUGUGGGAAAGUAGGUAGUUGCCAAGA
This is a ribosomal RNA of Desulfovibrio sp. An276, 115 nucleotides long. NCBI's taxonomy places the organism in Bacteria, Pseudomonadati, Thermodesulfobacteriota, Desulfovibrionia, Desulfovibrionales, Desulfovibrionaceae. The record is from Rfam.